UCGGGAAUUUUGGGCAAUGGGCGCAAGCCUGAUCCAGCAAUACCGCGUGUGUGAAGAAGGCCUGAGGGUUGUAAAGCACUUUCAAUAGGAAGGAAUACCUGCCGGCCAAUACCCGGUAGACUGACAUUACCUAUACAAGAAGCACCGGCUAACUCCGUGCCAGCAGCCGCGGUAAUACGGAGGGUGCAAGCGUUAAUCGGAAUUACUGGGCGUAAAGCGUGCGUAGGCGGUGAUUUAAGUCAGAUGUGAAAGCCCCGGGCUUAACCUGGGAACUGCAUUUGAUACUGGGUCACUAGAGUUGAGUAGAGGAGAGUGGAAUUUCAGGUGUAGCGGUGAAAUGCGUAGAGAUCUGAAGGAACACCAGUGGCGAAGGCGGCUCUCUGGACUCAAACUGACGCUGAGGUACGAAAGCGUGGGUAGCAAACAGGAUUAGAUACCCCAGUAGUCCCUGAGCGGGCUGGCAAGGCGCAU
RNAcentral lists this ribosomal RNA (471 nucleotides) under uncultured bacterium. Its description in RNAcentral is "bacterial SSU rRNA". It matches the Rfam family "Bacterial small subunit ribosomal RNA", at positions 355 to 825 of the family's 1533-position model. The record is from RNAcentral.